CGUGCCAGCAGCCGCGGUAAUACGAAGGGUGCAAGCGUUACUCGGAAUUACUGGGCGUAAAGCGUGCGUAGGUGGUCGUUUAAGUCCGUUGUGAAAGCCCUGGGCUCAACCUGGGAACUGCAGUGGAUACUGGGCGACUAGAGUGUGGUAGAGGGUAGCGGAAUCCCUGGUGUAGCAGUGAAAUGCGUAGAGAUCAGGAGGAACAUCCAUGGCGAAGGCAGCUACCUGGACCAACACUGACACUGAGGCACGAAAGCGUGGGGAGCAAACAGGAUUAGAUACCCUGGUAGUCCACGCCCUAAACGAUGCGAACUGGAUGUUGGGUGCAAUUUGGCACGCAGUAUCGAAGCUAACGCGUUAAGUUCGCCGCCUGGGGAGUACGGUCGCAAGACUGAAACUCAAAGGAAUUGACGGGGGCCCGCACAAGCGGUGGAGUAUGUGGUUUAAUUCGAUGCAACGCGAAGAACCUUACCUGGCCUUGACAUGUCGAGAACUUUCCAGGAUGGAUUGGUGCCUUCGGGAACUCGAACACAGGUGCUGCAUGGCUGUCGUCAGCUCGUGUC
This 563-nucleotide ribosomal RNA is filed under the name uncultured bacterium. RNAcentral's name for it is "bacterial SSU rRNA". It matches the Rfam family "Bacterial small subunit ribosomal RNA", at positions 504 to 1066 of the family's 1533-position model. The record is from RNAcentral.